AACGAACGCUGGCGGCGCGCCUAACACAUGCAAGUCGAACGGAGUUAUUUAAAGAAGCUGACUUCGGUUAGUGGAGUUUUUAUAACUUAGUGGCGAAAGGGUGUGUAACACGUGGGUAACCUGCCCUUAAGAUGGGGAUACUCCCGAGAAAUCGGGCACAAUACCGAAUACAAUUCCAAGGUAAAGGCUUUGGGAUAAAAGCUGCGAGCAAUCGUAGCGCUUUUGGAGGGACCUGCGUCCUAUCAGCUAGUUGGUGAGGUAAUAGCUCACCAAGGCAAAGACGGGUAGCCGGACUGAGAGGUUGAUCGGCCACACUGGAACUGAGACACGGUCCAGACUCCUACGGGAGGCAGCAGUGAGGUAAUUUUGCGCAAGUGGGCGAAAGCCUGACGCAGCAACGCCGCGUGGGGGAAGAAGGCCCUCGGGUUGUAAACUCCUUUCGUGAGGGAAAAGCCCCGAGCAAUCGGGGUGAUGGUACCUCAGGAAGAAGCCACGGCUAACUCUGUG
RNAcentral lists this ribosomal RNA (507 nucleotides) under uncultured bacterium. RNAcentral's name for it is "bacterial SSU rRNA". It matches the Rfam family "Bacterial small subunit ribosomal RNA", at positions 29 to 507 of the family's 1533-position model. The record is from RNAcentral.